Alligator mississippiensis (American alligator) is the source of this 1656-nucleotide long non-coding RNA. RefSeq lists it as uncharacterized. The transcript has 5 exons. The record is from RefSeq and is a predicted model, not a curated record. NCBI's taxonomy places the organism in Eukaryota, Metazoa, Chordata, Crocodylia, Alligatoridae.
CCUACUCCAGGGCCCAGGUUGAGGUCUCAGAUGUGAAACCCUAGAGUGAAAUGUCCUACAGGAGCUAGAUACCCCUGGGCCUGAGGCUGGGGCUACACUUUGCAGCUCUGUUUGGCAUCAUGGUACAACUGCCCUGUCUGGCUGUCAGGACUGCAAGGAAAGCUGGUUUUGGAGGAGGCUCCAGAGAGGGUCACACUGUUUUGGAGAGAUGCAGCAUAGUCUAUGGUCACUAUAAGGGAGUGAAGUAAUAAGUUGUCUUGGAGUCGCUGGUGACUGCACAGGUCAAGAACCUGCUUGCAGAUGAAAGAAGCCAGAAAGCUCUUGACCAAAGGCUGGAGUGAUGUCCUCAAUAUUUGUGAAUCUCUUCCAUUCGCUAGUACCUUUCAUUCUCUGUACGAAAAUGGCAAGGCUUCUUUCAAAAGUCAUACAGCGCCCAGCAAAGUCCAACCUCCUAAUGAAAGGCUUCAUUAACAAUCGUGUCUUCCAGCCAGAACUGGUCGCAUUUCAGUGAAGCAUGAAGUCAUCCCAAAGUUAAGAUAUUCAAAGGCGACCAAUUUCUUGGGUGCCCAGUUUGGAACAGCUUUAAGGGACUUUUGAUACGAGCACAGUGAACACCCAGCAAUGGACACCUCUCCCCACUUCUGCAAAUCCUGGCAUUUGCAAAUCCAGUAACAAUAUUUUUUUUUACAAAAAUGCUUCCGUGUGCAUCAAUUGCAGACAUUUGGCUAUUGGAGGAGAUGUCCAGGUGUAUCCAUGGCAGUUAGAUACUCAACUCUCAUUGAAAGUCAAAGCAAAUUAGGAACCUAGCUAUCAGUCAUGCCUGUGGAAAACUAUCCCCAUUAUUAUCAUCUGGAUUAAUACGACUAACACAGAGCUCCCCACCCUGAGUUCUCAAGUCUCCUUUCAUGAAGUAUUUAGCAUAGCAUGAGCUCUUGAAUCACAACCCGACAGUGAAGAGGAACCAGAUUACAUAUAUGCUCCUUUGGUAUACAUGAAUCAAUAAAACACUGAUAAAUAGAAACCACACUGGAAUGAGUCCAUUUUACUACUCCUGACAAUGGUAAAGAUUUAGCUGAGCAAUAAUUUGACUUGGAGCUGCCUUACUGGGCUUGCUUUGCUUAGCAUACAUCAAGAAAAUGAUGAAGACCUAGAGCAAGUCUUGACAGAUUUUGACCUAUUCAUUGAGUGAUGAACUCCUAUUACUGUAUCAGAGUCAGCAACAUAUAUUACCUAUAGUUUGUGUAAUCACUCGUACGCUAUUCCUCUUUUACAAGAUAGUUUAAUGUUGUGCAGUUUGAUAGAUGAAGUAUUUUAUGCACAGCUACACAAAAUAAAAGUUAUUUACUUUAAUUAAAAGAAAGAGAUGGCAAAAUAAAAUUUAAGGCCAGAUCCUGAUAUUCUUAUUCAUGUUGAGAAGUCGCAGAUUCUAUGACACCUCCCACAAAAAUCAAUAAAAUGCCUCAUGAUAUGAACACUUUUCUUGGGCAGGAAGACUGGGGAGAUAUAACCUAGCCAUUGGUUGCCUCAUGUGUUUGCAGUACUUGUAGGGACAGUUGGAGAGAAGGAAAAUUUCUGGAUGGCUCAUUCACUACUAAAAUAGUAUAUCUGCUCAGAAGCAGGGAAAAAAAACAGAGAGCAAUAUCAAGGCAGCAGGCC